CCUACGGGCGGCUGCAGUGAGGAAUAUUGGUCAAUGGACGAGAGUCUGAACCAGCCAAGUAGCGUGAAGGAUGACUGCCCUAUGGGUUGUAAACUUCUUUUAUAUGGGAAUAAAAUGUUCCACGUGUGGGAUUUUGUAUGUACCAUAUGAAUAAGGAUCGGCUAACUCCGUGCCAGCAGCCGCGGUAAUACGGAGGAUCCGAGCGUUAUCCGGAUUUAUUGGGUUUAAAGGGAGCGUAGGCGGAUUGUUAAGUCAGUUGUGAAAGUUUGCGGCUCAACCGUAAAAUUGCAGUUGAUACUGGCAGUCUUGAGUACAGUAGAGGUGGGCGGAAUUCGUGGUGUAGCGGUGAAAUGCUUAGAGAUCACGAAGAACUCCGAUGGCGAAGGCAGUUCACUGGACUGCAACUGACACUGAGGCUCGAAAGUGUGGGUAUCAAACAGGAUUAGAUACCCCUGUAGUC
RNAcentral lists this ribosomal RNA (460 nucleotides) under uncultured bacterium. RNAcentral describes it as "partial 16S ribosomal RNA". It matches the Rfam family "Bacterial small subunit ribosomal RNA", at positions 338 to 795 of the family's 1533-position model. The record is from RNAcentral.